GUCACGAUAGCUCAAGUGGUAGAGCAGCGGCGUGUCAAGCUGAAGAUCGUGGGUUCGAAUCCCGCUCGUGCCA
Molecule: transfer RNA, 73 nt
Filed under: Cimex lectularius (bed bug)
Lineage: Eukaryota; Metazoa; Arthropoda; Insecta; Hemiptera; Cimicidae
Description: tRNA-Asp
Rfam family: tRNA
About the family: Transfer RNA (tRNA) molecules are approximately 80 nucleotides in length. Their secondary structure includes four short double-helical elements and three loops (D, anti-codon, and T loops).
Source: Rfam by way of RNAcentral